GAUACCAAAAACAGUGAGAUAUCUGUACAUGAAUAUAGGUAGUU
RNAcentral lists this non-coding RNA (44 nucleotides) under Ctenophora environmental sample. The record is from RNAcentral. Lineage: Eukaryota; Metazoa; Ctenophora.